This 388-nucleotide ribosomal RNA is filed under the name uncultured bacterium. Its description in RNAcentral is "bacterial SSU rRNA". It matches the Rfam family "Bacterial small subunit ribosomal RNA", at positions 29 to 421 of the family's 1533-position model. The record is from RNAcentral.
AUUGAACGCUGGCGGCAUGCCUUACACAUGCAAGUCGAACGGCAGCACGGGAGCAAUCCUGGUGGCGAGUGGCGAACGGGUGAGUAAUAUAUCGGAACGUGCCCGGUCGUGGGGAUAACGUAGCGAAAGCUACGCUAAUACCGCAUACGAUCUACGGAUGAAAGCGGGGGAUCGCAAGACCUCGCGCGAUUGGAGCGGCCGAUAUCAGAUUAGGUAGUUGGUGAGGUAAAGGCUCACCAAGCCGACGAUCUGUAGCUGGUCUGAGAGGACGACCAGCCACACUGGGACUGAGACACGGCCCAGACUCCUACGGGAGGCAGCAGUGGGAAUUUGGACAAUGGGCGCAAGCCUGAUCCAGCAAUGCCGCGUGCAGGAUGAAGGCCUUCGG